This is a long non-coding RNA of Sander lucioperca (pikeperch), 4926 nucleotides long. RefSeq lists it as uncharacterized. The transcript is spliced from 5 exons. Lineage: Eukaryota; Metazoa; Chordata; Actinopteri; Perciformes; Percidae. The record is from RefSeq and is a predicted model, not a curated record.
UCAAUAAAGUGUCUGUGAGGCAAAUCGGGUAACAAGUCUGGGCUUGUCUUCAAGUCACCUGUGGUGUCUAACUGGAUAGCUAGAUCUUCAUUAACUUACAGAGGGGACGAAACCGAAUCAAGCCAAUUAACGCAGGCAAACAGGAGCCAUUAAAUAGCAGCCCGAUAGCGCAUGUCGCUGCACACCCAGUCCGGUUGUAUAACGAGGCUUCACCUCAGCUGAACUUGACACAUCUGGUUCAUCGGCGGCGAAGGACGCGCGCCGCAGUCUGCAGCCUGUGCCCCCACUGAACCGAGCUGGAUGGCUGCGGAGAGACACAGAGAGGGGGGGACAACUCUUUCGUGGCCCGGUAGCCGCUCACGGAGACUGUCUCCUAGCACAUUCAACAUGACGAUUUGUUUUCUACUUCUCAGCCUACAAAUAAGCUAUGGCUUUGUGCUUUUUUAUUUCCGUUUUUUUUGGUUCCCAGAGACGACGAGCCACCGUAUAGAAGAUAUAAAGCCCGCCGACUUGGAGUUGGACACCCCGGAGGAAGAUACCAUCCAACUUGAACUCGAGACCUGUCGGGCAAGUGAGGACACAAGUAGACGUGGAUCCACAAGACUUCAAAUACUGCAAUACAGAGAGGAUAUGUGGACAUACUGUGUGCAGCCACAGAGGGAUCCAGCACAAUGAACGCCGGAGAUUUCGGCGCUUUACCCCAGAUAGCUGAUGACUGAUGUUUGUGCCAGUUGCCUUCAAAGUCUCAGUGGGUAAGUCAAAGAGUGUGUGUGGGUGUGGAGGUAAGUGUGUGUAUGCAUUUAUGCCUGUGUAUGUGUUUCUAUGAGACAAACGCCACAGCGACUUUUGUGUGUAAAGUCUGGGUGUUGUUUUCUUCAGGGCUACAUUACUAUCCAGAGAGAGGAGGCUUAACUAAAUAUAGGCAAACCAGGGGGGUAACGUGGCAUGAGCUUUGAAUUUCAGACGGAACUGAGCUACUCUCUUCUGGUGCGUUCUUACCUGCAGUUUUGCAGUCCAGGUCGGCCUUUUGUGUAUGUGAAAGAGAGACGGUUUUGGAGGGAGCAGAGAGGGACUAGUGCUGUAAUGUUGGGCCGAGGGCCAGACAAGGCCUGCUACACAAGGCCGAGCCCCACCACAACGCUCCCCCCCUCUCUCUCUAUCGCUAUCUCUCUCUCUCUCUCUCUCUCUCUCUCUCUCUCUCUCUCUCUCUCUCUCUCUCUCUGUGUCUCUCUCCCCUUUUCUCUCCUGGUCAUCUAUUAGAAAACUAUUAACAGCGAUUCUCACAUUAAGUUUUCUCAUUAAAACCUCAUCUUAGUGAAUAUGUGCAAGGUUCCUGGUUUGUAAUAGGUUUAACAUUUGAAAACGGGUCAUUGCUGACACGUGGCCACAUGUAGCUUCGAUACAGCUCGAACAGGCCUUUUAGACAUACCUGUUAUUGUGCUUUGUAACUAAUGUGGCUCAAAUAAAGCGUACGUUUUCAUUUUCUUUUUCAUUUCCUUUACAUAAACAAGAAAAAUGCUUCAGGGAAUUAAGCUGUAGACAUUUCUCUUAUUCGAUUAAGCCGUUUGAAGACGCAAUUAAAUCCAAAGCUAUGUAACUUACAUACACGUAUUUGGGUGGUGUAAGAAUUAAUAAAAGUUGAAUUGUCUUUAAUAUUAGUAACACACCUGCUUUAUCCCUCAGGAAGAAUACCAACACUAAUUUUGUCUGUAUUAUAUCAUAUUUUCCACAUAAUUAAAAAACUCAAUAUGCCACACCCCUCACUGAUGCCUUCUACUAAGGCAUCUUUUAAUUAUCGCCCAUGAAUCAGUUUUUUGAAUUAGCGCUAAUUUAAAUUUCUUUCCACAUUGCCUGUUGAUAUGGCUUAAUGUUGAACACCUCAAGGCACAUCAGAGUCUACGAUGACCAAUAGGUAGGAGUGGAGGCAGCGUGAGUCAUCACAGAAAACUCCAGUCAUCCCACCUACGUCCUACGUUUGACAGACAUAGAUCUGCCACUCUCGUACUACAGGGCCUGGCGCGCCUGCCGCGAGCUCCGCCAUCACUGUAAAGCCAGCAGGAAACCCCGACUUCGCUUGCCGCAUUCCGAACCCUUCUUCUGAGACCUUCAGCCCGGGAAAUUAUGAGCUAGUACAUCAGCAUUUGGAGAAGGAACACGUCAUUGCUGAACCCCAUCGGCUAAUAAGAUGCAGCAGUAAAAACUGCAGCAGAAUCAAAUGAAGGAUGUAAUUGUUUUUAAAAAAAAAUAUUUUUCCUGCUCUUUUCUAUUUCUUUCCUUUCUACUUUAUUCAUCUAGCUAACACACAUAGAAAUAAAAGGUAAUAUUUGCAGAUAUUUGCGGCGAGUUGUGCUGCUCUUCACAAUCAAACGCCCUGGAGGGCAAAGGGGAGAAACAUGCUUUAAUACACUAUUAAUAACUUGGAACCUGUCAAUCGUUUAAUUCACUUUUGAAAAACAUUAAACAUGUUUUAAAAUUCCUUCUGACAUGGGCAUUUAUGUCAUACAGGAAAGACAUACAGUUUACUUGAGACGCAAAAAAACAAACCCGUUUUGACAAAAUACAUAUUUCUACGCAAAACUGGCAGUAAGUCAGUUUAUUGCGAGAUUUUAUACAACUAUUUUUUUUAAAGGAUUUCCUGUGCUUAAAAUGGCCUCACCUUUAAAUUGAAAAUGAUAAACCACUGAGGACCCCUGCAUUGUGUUUUUUAAUGAAAAAAGUGAUAGUGAGAUUUUGCCUUAAUAUUUAAUCAGCGAGACAGAUUUAUACAGGAAUUGAUAUUGGUUGUUACAGAAUGUUAGAGAACAGCAAAACUGAAGGUAAUGUGAAAGCUAACAUAAAGACCAUCACACUACAUCGUGAAUAAGACACACAGGACGUGUUUAUGCACAAUUGCGCGCACACACACACACACACACACACACACACACACACACACACACACACACACACACAGGCAAACCCCCAGACACAUUUGGUGCUACGUACCCCACAAUGAACCCUGGCUUUUAACAUGAAUGGGGUUCCCACGCCUCUCCCAAGGAGUGCAGGGCACAGUCUCCUCCUCUGAGCAUUCACACACACACAAACACACGCACAAUGCACACACUACGGAUGGCCACACAGUCUCACUCAAACACACAUAGGUGCUUUUGAGUAUAAUACAGAGGCACACACACUUGCAGUGAAAAGGACACAUUUUAAAAGGCACACAGACAAAUAUAGAUUAUUAUUCAGAGCACUCACAGCUAUGAUGAUCAUGUCAAUUUUUAAGAUGGAGUGAGACACAGCUAUCUUUAUUGCUAGCGCUUCAGUAAUUUGGCAUAGAAAGCAGCUUUUAAUUUGUUAAGCAGCAAACAGGAAGGUAAGUGAGGAAUGAGACGUAUUUGGGGUGUUUUACUUUGGUUACAUUUCAGUUACACCUCCAGAUUUUUUUUGUGGGUGGGGUGGGGGGGUGUCAGUCGUAGGGUUUAGCUUUGCAGGGAGAAUUUAAAUGAAGCAGAAACAAAAGUUCGUGGGAAAAUCUAAAAUUUCAAUAUCUAAGGAUUCAGCAACACAAAGUCCUUGUGUGUGUGUGUGUGUGUGUGUGUGUGUGUGUGUGUGUUAAAUUAAAUAAGGGAUCUAUUUUAAUAUUUAUUUUUAUAUCAUUGUAUAAUACACUACGCUGUUAGAUUAGUUGUUUUCUUUUUCGUGGAAAAAUAUGUGCGUAAUAUAUACAAUAUAUAUUUAUAUAAAAUGACAUUCGCUUUAACAUUGCAUUGUGUGUGUUAGUGAGUGAGUGAGUUGCAUAGUAUAGUUAAAAUUUUAACUAUAAAAAAAAAAAUUAUUUGAUGCUUGUUUAUUUCUUCCAUUAUUGCCUCUUUUAUUUUUUAUUUUUAUAUUAAGCAUUUUUGAAAAUGUCAGCACAUUAUUUUUAGAAACUACAAUUGGAUUACAAAAAAAGGCUAAUUACAGAAAAUCUAAAUACAUGCUUUAUUUGUAGUAAAUAACAUACAGUAAUAUAAUUCCCACUGGUAACUUUCUGGAGCGUAUGCUUCCCUGAGAGAUUAAUCUUAAGCUUCUUCAACACUGGCCAGUAUACAGUAUGAUAAUACUGAUUUUCCAGUCUAAAUUCGGCUGCAGUAUUCUGAGCCAUGAUCACUCUAACAUAUGUCACAUCAGCCUUAAUGAUACAGUCAAGUAGCUGCUUGGCAGGUUUAUGACCUGAGGGCUACAUGGACACCUUGGUGUGUGUGUGUGUGUGUGUGUGUGUGUGUGUGUGUGUGUGUGUGUGUGUGUGUGUGUGUGUGUGUGUGUGUGUGUGUUUUGUGAAUAUAUCUGCACAGUAUUUUGCGUGUGUGUGUGUGUUCAUUUGGAUAUGUGUAAGUAUAACUAUAUUUACGUCUGUUUUUCUCUUUCAAUUGCAGGCUCAUUAUCUGGGAAUGACUUUAUUUUCCUGGUCAGACCUCAAUGUCAAGGCUGAGGAAACCUGAGAGGAGGCGAGCCGAUAAACCGCGCAGACCUGAAGCUGCAGAGAGGAGGUGACCUGUCAAGCAUAAGUAACAUUCAGGAAGUAUUCUGAAAGCAUUCUUUGAUUCACAACAAUUAAGGCACAAAGAAAUGAUGUCAGGUUAGGACUAAUGAAAAAAAAGUUAUUUUGUAUAUAGAUUAUCCAGUGAAAAACAGUCUUAAAUGGUUUUAAAAAACAACUGAACAUUUAAAAAGAAGUUAAUUAAAAUGUACUUCAGCAGUUUAAUUCAUUCUAAUCUUCAUGCUAGCAGGGACACAUCACAUCCUCACAAAAUCAUUGUGAUAGAGAUUUGAGUUGGUAAAGCCUUAGUGUUUAGCUAAAAAGAAAGACUAUGAUUUUAAUAAAAAAUCAAAUGUAUUAUUUAGGGCUGUCAAUCGAUUAAAAUUUUUUAUCUAAUUAAUUACAUAUUCUGUGAUUAA